CCAUGUUCAUAAUGAACAACUAUGGACCUCGCCAAAACAAAAAAGUCACAGCAGUUAGAAUAUCUGUUUUCAUGUCGAGCCUGACAACAGAAGAAUAGAAUCUUGAAAGAAUGAGUUGGAUAAAGAGCCCUGCGUUGAUCUUCAGGUACUACCUGAAAUAAUUAGACACUUAGACACAAUUUGACACAUGCUAAAUGAAAACAUAUGAGGAUUGGAAAGUCUUCAGGUAUCGAAUGACAACAGAAGAAUGACCGAUGUAAGUCGAGCCGAGCCGAUACAAGCCGAGCCAAGCCUAUAUAAGCCGAGCCGAGUGCUAGUUCCCCCAAUUACCAGGUCAAGGAUGCUCUAUUCAUAGCUUUCGAACAAUCACAUACAAACUGAGCUUUAUGGAGAGUUCCUAUAGGA
Non-coding RNA from Amborella trichopoda, 405 nucleotides. The record is from RefSeq and is a predicted model, not a curated record. Lineage: Eukaryota; Viridiplantae; Streptophyta; Magnoliopsida; Amborellales; Amborellaceae.